UGUCCCCUGUAAGAUCGCUGUUUACACGGAGAACAUCGGCCUUCCACCGGGGAGCUGGUUACAGUAAGAGAAUUCCCGAACGGCUCAGAAGUCCCUCCUCCAAAAGAGCGCCUGGAAGGGCUGCGCAGGUGCAGGAGCUUUUCCGAAUGUUGCCAGUAAAGAGAUGAAAAGAUAAGUGCUCAUAUAUGCUGCAGUAGGACUACAUGGAAGGAGAUAUAUCUAUCAAGAAGACAGAAGACUUACUUUCAUCAUCUGAAUCAAAUCCAAAGAGUGUCUGACAUUUCUUUUGUGCAAGUUUUUGGCCAGGGCUGGGUUUGAACCCACCACCUCCGGCAUAUGGAGCCAGCGCCCUACCCCUUUGAGCCACAGGUGCCACCUGGUUUUAUUGAUUUUCAAUUAGCAAAAAUGCUGUAUAUUUUUCACACAGAUUGCUAUUAAACUAGUUUUCCUACAUCCCAUAAUUUUAUAGCUGUUUUUUGUACAAUAACUAUACAUUAAU
This is a long non-coding RNA of Nycticebus coucang (slow loris), 499 nucleotides long. RefSeq lists it as uncharacterized. The transcript is spliced from 4 exons. The record is from RefSeq and is a predicted model, not a curated record. Lineage: Eukaryota; Metazoa; Chordata; Mammalia; Primates; Lorisidae.